RNAcentral lists this ribosomal RNA (1410 nucleotides) under Lactiplantibacillus plantarum. RNAcentral describes it as "bacterial SSU rRNA". It matches the Rfam family "Bacterial small subunit ribosomal RNA", at positions 57 to 1434 of the family's 1533-position model. Lineage: Bacteria; Bacillati; Bacillota; Bacilli; Lactobacillales; Lactobacillaceae. The record is from RNAcentral.
GCAGUCGAACGAACUCUGGUAUUGAUUGGUGCUUGCAUCAUGAUUUACAUUUGAGUGAGUGGCGAACUGGUGAGUAACACGUGGGAAACCUGCCCAGAAGCGGGGGAUAACACCUGGAAACAGAUGCUAAUACCGCAUAACAACUUGGACCGCAUGGUCCGAGUUUGAAAGAUGGCUUCGGCUAUCACUUUUGGAUGGUCCCGCGGCGUAUUAGCUAGAUGGUGAGGUAACGGCUCACCAUGGCAAUGAUACGUAGCCGACCUGAGAGGGUAAUCGGCCACAUUGGGACUGAGACACGGCCCAAACUCCUACGGGAGGCAGCAGUAGGGAAUCUUCCACAAUGGACGAAAGUCUGAUGGAGCAACGCCGCGUGAGUGAAGAAGGGUUUCGGCUCGUAAAACUCUGUUGUUAAAGAAGAACAUAUCUGAGAGUAACUGUUCAGGUAUUGACGGUAUUUAACCAGAAAGCCACGGCUAACUACGUGCCAGCAGCCGCGGUAAUACGUAGGUGGCAAGCGUUGUCCGGAUUUAUUGGGCGUAAAGCGAGCGCAGGCGGUUUUUUAAGUCUGAUGUGAAAGCCUUCGGCUCAACCGAAGAAGUGCAUCGGAAACUGGGAAACUUGAGUGCAGAAGAGGACAGUGGAACUCCAUGUGUAGCGGUGAAAUGCGUAGAUAUAUGGAAGAACACCAGUGGCGAAGGCGGCUGUCUGGUCUGUAACUGACGCUGAGGCUCGAAAGUAUGGGUAGCAAACAGGAUUAGAUACCCUGGUAGUCCAUACCGUAAACGAUGAAUGCUAAGUGUUGGAGGGUUUCCGCCCUUCAGUGCUGCAGCUAACGCAUUAAGCAUUCCGCCUGGGGAGUACGGCCGCAAGGCUGAAACUCAAAGGAAUUGACGGGGGCCCGCACAAGCGGUGGAGCAUGUGGUUUAAUUCGAAGCUACGCGAAGAACCUUACCAGGUCUUGACAUACUAUGCAAAUCUAAGAGAUUAGACGUUCCCUUAGGGGACAUGGAUACAGGUGGUGCAUGGUUGUCGUCAGCUCGUGUCGUGAGAUGUUGGGUUAAGUCCCGCAACGAGCGCAACCCUUAUUAUCAGUUGCCAGCAUUAAGUUGGGCACUCUGGUGAGACUGCCGGUGACAAACCGGAGGAAGGUGGGGAUGACGUCAAAUCAUCAUGCCCCUUAUGACCUGGGCUACACACGUGCUACAAUGGAUGGUACAACGAGUUGCGAACUCGCGAGAGUAAGCUAAUCUCUUAAAGCCAUUCUCAGUUCGGAUUGUAGGCUGCAACUCGCCUACAUGAAGUCGGAAUCGCUAGUAAUCGCGGAUCAGCAUGCCGCGGUGAAUACGUUCCCGGGCCUUGUACACACCGCCCGUCACACCAUGAGAGUUUGUAACACCCAAAGUCGGUGGG